Molecule: ribosomal RNA, 364 nt
Filed under: uncultured bacterium
Lineage: Bacteria
Description: bacterial SSU rRNA
Rfam family: Bacterial small subunit ribosomal RNA
Source: RNAcentral
AACGAACGCUGGCGGCAUGCCUAACACAUGCAAGUCGAACGGGAUCCUGGUUUCGGCCAGGUGAGAGUGGCGGACGGGUGAGUAACGCGUGGGAACCUGCCCAGUGGUGGGGGAGUAACUGCGGGAAACUGCAGCUAAUACCGCAUGAGCCCGAAAGGGGAAAGAUUGAUCGCCAUUGGAGGGGCCCGCGUUCGAUUAGGUAGUUGGUGAGGUAAUGGCUCACCAAGCCUUCGAUCGAUAGCUGGUCUGAGAGGAUGAUCAGCCACACUGGGACUGAGAUACGGCCCAGACUCCUACGGGAGGCAGCAGUGGGGAAUAUUGGACAAUGGGGGCGAACCCUGAUCCAGCAAUGCCGCGUGAGUGA